RNAcentral lists this ribosomal RNA (1002 nucleotides) under uncultured Sulfurimonas sp. RNAcentral's name for it is "bacterial SSU rRNA". It matches the Rfam family "Bacterial small subunit ribosomal RNA", at positions 28 to 1052 of the family's 1533-position model. Lineage: Bacteria; Pseudomonadati; Campylobacterota; Epsilonproteobacteria; Campylobacterales; Sulfurimonadaceae. The record is from RNAcentral.
AAUGAACGCUGGCGGCGUGCUUAACACAUGCAAGUCGAACGGUAACAGAGAGAAGCUUGCUUCUUUGCUGACGAGUGGCGCACGGGUGAGUAAUAUAUAGAUAAUGUGCCUCUUAGUCUGGGAUAGCCAUUGGAAACGAUGAUUAAUACUGGAUAUUCCUUCUUACCAUAAGGUAAGUUGGGAAAGUUUUUCGCUAAGAGAUCGGUCUAUAUCCCAUCAGCUUGUUGGUAGUGUAAGAGACUACCAAGGCUAUGACGGGUAGCGGGUUUGAGAGGAUGAUCCGCCACACUGGUACUGAGACACGGACCAGACUCCUACGGGAGGCAGCAGUGAGGAAUAUUGCACAAUGGGGGAAACCCUGAUGCAGCAACGCCGCGUGGAGGAUGACGCAUUUCGGUGUGUAAACUCCUUUUAUAUGUCAAGAAAAUGACGGUAGCAUAUGAAUAAGCACCGGCUAACUCCGUGCCAGCAGCCGCGGUAAUACGGAGGGUGCAAGCGUUAUUCGGAAUCACUGGGCGUAAAGGACGCGUAGGCGGGUUGGAAAGUCAGAUGUGAAAUCCUACAGCUUAACUGUAGAACUGCAUUUGAAACUUCCAAUCUAGAGUAUGGGAGGGGGAGAUGGAAUUAGUGGUGUAGGGGUAAAAUCCGUAGAUAUCACUAGGAAUACCGAAAGCGAAGGCGAUCUCCUGGAACAUAACUGACGCUAAGGCGUGAAAGCGUGGGGAGCAAACAGGAUUAGAUACCCUGGUAGUCCACGCCCUAAACGAUGAACACUAGUCGUCGGGAUGCUAGUCAUCUCGGUGAUGCACUUAACAGAUUAAGUGUUCCGCCUGGGAGUACGGUCGCAAGAUUAAAACUCAAAGGAAUAGACGGGGACCCGCACAAGUGGUGGAGCAUGUGGUUUAAUUCGAAGAUACGCGAAGAACCUUACCUAGCCUUGACAUUGAAGAAACACUUUAGAGAUAGAGUGGUGCCCUUCGGGGAAAGCUAGUACAUGACAGC